CCUACGGGCGGCAGCAGUGAGGAAUAUUGGUCAAUGGACGCGAGUCUGAACCAGCCAAGUAGCGUGAAGGAUGACUGCCCUCUGGGUUUUAAACUUCUUUUAUAUGGGAGUAAAAUGUUCCACGUGUGGGAUUUUGUAUGUACCAUAUAAAUAAGGAUCGGCUAACGCCGUGCCAGCAGCCGCGGUAAUACGGAGGAUCCGAGCGUGAUCCGGAUUUCUUGGGGUUAAAGGGAGCGUAGGGGGAUUGUUAAGUCAGUUUUGAAAGUUUGCGGCUCAACCGGAAAAUUGCAGUUGAUACUGGCAGUCUUGAGUACAGUAGAGGUGGGCGGAAUUCGUGGUGUAGCGGGGAAAUGCUUAGAUAUCACGAAGAACUCCGAUUGCGAAGGCAGCUCACUGGACUGCAACUGACACUGAGGCUCGAAAGUGUGGGGAUCAAACAGGAUUAGAUACCCGGGUAGUC
Molecule: ribosomal RNA, 460 nt
Filed under: uncultured bacterium
Lineage: Bacteria
Description: partial 16S ribosomal RNA
Rfam family: Bacterial small subunit ribosomal RNA
Source: RNAcentral